RNAcentral lists this ribosomal RNA (480 nucleotides) under uncultured bacterium. RNAcentral describes it as "bacterial SSU rRNA". It matches the Rfam family "Bacterial small subunit ribosomal RNA", at positions 27 to 507 of the family's 1533-position model. The record is from RNAcentral.
GGACGAACGCCUGGCGGCGUGCCUAACACAUGCAAGUCAACUUGACUGAAGAGCAAUCUGACAGUAGAGUGGCGACAAGGGUUGCGUAACGCGUAAGUAACUUGCCCAGGUAAGGAUAACGUCGAGAAAUCGGCGCUAAUACCUCAUAAUGCAGCGGAUCCGCAUGGAUAUGUUGUUAAAGGUUUACCGCCUUGGGAUAGGCUUGCGUCUGAUUAGCUAGUUGGUGUGGUAACGGCACACCAAGGCUACGAUCAGUAACUGGUCUGAGAGGAUGAUCAGUCACACUGGAACUGAGACACGGUCCAGACUCCUACGGGAGGCAGCAGUGAGGAAUAUUGGGCAAUGCUCGAAAGAGUGACCCAGCAACGCCGCGUGGAGGAUGAAGGUAUUCUAUAUCGUAAACUCCUGUGAGAGCAGACGAAAGACAGAUUAUUAAUCUGGAUGACUGUAUGCCCAGAGGAAGCCCCGGCUAACUACGUG